RNAcentral lists this transfer RNA (71 nucleotides) under Loxodonta africana (African savanna elephant). It matches the Rfam family "tRNA". From Rfam's summary of the family: Transfer RNA (tRNA) molecules are approximately 80 nucleotides in length. Their secondary structure includes four short double-helical elements and three loops (D, anti-codon, and T loops). Lineage: Eukaryota; Metazoa; Chordata; Mammalia; Proboscidea; Elephantidae. The record is from Rfam by way of RNAcentral.
GCAUUGGUGAUUUAAUGGUAGAAUUCUUGCCUUUCAUGUGAGAGGCUCAAGUUUGAUUUGUGGCUAAUGCA